CUAAGGAAUAGCCACUGGAAACGGUGAGUAAUACCUUAUACGCCUUCGGGGGAAAGAUUUAUCGGAGAAGGAUCGGCCCGCGUUAGAUUAGAUAGUUGGUGGGGUAACGGCCUACCAAGUCUACGAUCUAUAGCUGGUUUUAGAGGAUGAUCAGCAACACUGGGACUGAGACACGGCCCAGACUCCUACGGGAGGCAGCAGUGGGGAAUCUUGGACAAUGGGCGCAAGCCUGAUCCAGCCAUGCCGCGUGAGUGAUGAAGGCCUUAGGGUCGUAAAGCUCUUUCGCUGGGGAUGAUAAUGACAGUACCCAGUAAAGAAACCCCGGCUAACUCCGUG
RNAcentral lists this ribosomal RNA (336 nucleotides) under uncultured bacterium. RNAcentral describes it as "bacterial SSU rRNA". It matches the Rfam family "Bacterial small subunit ribosomal RNA", at positions 136 to 507 of the family's 1533-position model. The record is from RNAcentral.